This is a long non-coding RNA of Hypomesus transpacificus, 1435 nucleotides long. RefSeq lists it as uncharacterized. Lineage: Eukaryota; Metazoa; Chordata; Actinopteri; Osmeriformes; Osmeridae. The record is from RefSeq and is a predicted model, not a curated record. The transcript has 2 exons.
AGCCUCCCUGGAAGUGAGGGAACAGACAGCCUCCGUGAACCAAACUGCUCUGAGUCUUCUUAGCACAGCAGAGACAAGAAUAUGCCCCUCUGACAACACAACACCCUGUGUGUUCACCUACAGAGGAGACUCGUGCACAGCUCAGGGGAAUGCAAUCGAUCAAAACGACAAGGCAGCUGUCCGGCGAGACAACAAAGGCUUGUAGCUGGUUGUUUCCCGUACGACUGUACAGUAAGCGACAUUCACUUCCCCACAGGCAGAGUGGACCUUGUGAGAGGCUAAGCGGCAGGUUAGCUCAAGAGAAAUCGUUUAAAAAAAAGGAUGAAUCAAAGACAAGCGGUGCACUGGCGCAUGCAGCAAAGUUCUCCGGAUGUUUGUUUGUUUCAAAGGUGCCAGACAUUUCAAUCACAGGAAAGCAAACAAGCGCCAAAAGGAACUACAAGUUCGUACUCCCCAGAAAACCAAACCACACGGAGGAACAGGAAGUGUACGAGGCAGAUUAUGAGCUCACAGGAGUGAGGGACACAGCCAAGCAGACAGGACAGGGAGUCCCCAGAGAGACAAGCCCUCAGCAGGCACAAGGAGAGGUGACCAGGGAGCGGGUGUGGAGCUGGGAGGAGCGUCGGAGCAGGACAGGGAUGGACAGAGAGAGAGAGAGAGAGACAGAGAGAGAGAGACAGAGAGACAGAGAGACUUAGAGAGAGAGAGACAGAGAGAGAUGAGGGUGCUGUGGUGGCUCGUACCGGUUCUUCAUGAGACGGACCUCCCUCUUGCGCGUGGCGUCCUCGACCAGCUGAUGAGGGUUGCGUGUGGGGCCGGGGGAGCCCGCCAUCACCACGCCCUGGGGCAGACUGGAGGUGGGAGUCUGGAGCUGGUAGGCCGACAUGUCACCGGUGGCAGCUGGGAAACAGACACACACACGGGACAGAGGAGGGGGGCUGUUACAGGAACACCGGUGAAGUCAUCCCCAGUGUGUCAGAGUGGGCUGAGCCGAGCGAGGAAGCGUUUCGCCGAGCGAAAGCGAGCGGGUUAGUAUAGCGCUGAAACAUUGAUAAUAUCCUCAGUCAUUUCUGACGGUUACGUUCAGAACGAGGAGAAUAAUCAGAUCCUUGGUUCUACACAUUUCUUACGACUAGCCAACAUCAUCUCUCGAUCUUCUUGACAACAUUAUUAUGGUGUUAUUUUGAGUUUGCAUGCGUGUUUUCUACAACACCAUCAACAGUGCAGUGUGUAUGAAAAGCCAAAUAUCCCUGGAUAUUUGGCUAUAUGUUCUCAGAAUAUCUUUAUGGUGAAAUUUGUUUCGGCCAUUUACCAGAACCGAACUGUAAGAUUUAUAAACAGAGCUUCAGAAAGCAGUCAUCUAAACAAUAUAAAGCCAUGUACAGUAGUCCCUUUGUAACUUUAUUAAUGAAAUAAAUAAAAGUACAGUUGCACA